Long non-coding RNA from Morone saxatilis (striped sea-bass), 372 nucleotides. RefSeq lists it as uncharacterized. The transcript is spliced from 5 exons. The record is from RefSeq and is a predicted model, not a curated record. Lineage: Eukaryota; Metazoa; Chordata; Actinopteri; Moronidae.
CAGUGUCCAGCUCCUCAACAAUUGCACCAUUGAUUAUUGGGCCAGUUAUUGGAAUUUUACUGAUUAUUCUGUUCCCGCUUCUUUGGUACAUAAAGUCAAAGGGUCUAUUUUGUAACAGGCUCACCCAGUCUCAGACGGUCAACCAAGAUGAAACUCAACAGCAGGUGUACUCCUCUCUCCUCCAUGGUGAUGGUUCUGUUUAUGAAACAAUAAGAGGUUCUGAAGAUGCUGGAGCAGGUGGAAAACCAAACUAAUACAGGAAUGUCACAUCACCAAUCAGAGGCAAGCAGAGUAAGUAAUAUGAGACUUAAAAUGAAUGCAAAAUAUGCAUAAAAGUAACAUGUUUGCAGAUCAGAAUUUAAAAGCAAAAUC